This 161-nucleotide ribosomal RNA is filed under the name Fusarium verticillioides. Its description in RNAcentral is "5.8S ribosomal RNA". It matches the Rfam family "5.8S ribosomal RNA". Rfam says of the family: 5.8S ribosomal RNA (5.8S rRNA) is a component of the large subunit of the eukaryotic ribosome. It is transcribed by RNA polymerase I as part of the 45S precursor that also contains 18S and 28S rRNA. Lineage: Eukaryota; Fungi; Ascomycota; Sordariomycetes; Hypocreales; Nectriaceae. RNAcentral also lists the same sequence under 3 other names. The record is from RNAcentral.
UCAAAACUUUCAACAACGGAUCUCUUGGUUCUGGCAUCGAUGAAGAACGCAGCAAAAUGCGAUAAGUAAUGUGAAUUGCAGAAUUCAGUGAAUCAUCGAAUCUUUGAACGCACAUUGCGCCCGCCAGUAUUCUGGCGGGCAUGCCUGUUCGAGCGUCAUUU